AGUGAACGCUGGCGGUAGGCCUAACACAUGCAAGUCGAACGGCAGCUCAGUAAGAGCUUGCUCUAACGAGUGGCGAGUGGCGGACGGGGGCGGAAUACUACGGAAUCUACUUUUUAGUGGGGGAUAACGGAGGGAAACUUACGCUAAUACCUCAUACGACAUAAGAGUGUAUGCAGCGUGUCUUCGGACUUUACGCGACUGAAUGAGCCGAUGGCGGAUUAGCUAGUUGGCGGGGUAAAGGCCCACCAAGGCGACGAUCCGUAGCGGGCCUGAGAGGAUGAUCGGCCACACUGGAACUGAGACACGGUCCAGACUCCUACGGGAGGCAGCAGUGGGGAAUCUUGGACAAUGGGCGCAAGCCUGAUCCAGCCACACCGCGUGGGUGAAGAAGGUUUUCGGGUUGUAAAGCUCUUUUGUUGGGGAAGAAAAGCAGCAUUUUUAUCUCACGCUGUUCUGACGGUACCCAACGAAUAAGCACCGGCUAACUUCGUG
This 492-nucleotide ribosomal RNA is filed under the name uncultured bacterium. Its description in RNAcentral is "partial 16S ribosomal RNA". It matches the Rfam family "Bacterial small subunit ribosomal RNA", at positions 29 to 507 of the family's 1533-position model. The record is from RNAcentral.